RNAcentral lists this long non-coding RNA (1619 nucleotides) under Prunus persica (peach). RNAcentral's name for it is "long non-coding RNA (PPER_LNC000046)". Lineage: Eukaryota; Viridiplantae; Streptophyta; Magnoliopsida; Rosales; Rosaceae. The record is from RNAcentral.
CUUAACCAGCUGCUAGGUUUUCUGCAAAUGGCCAAACCCCAAAAUAUUUAUAAAAAGAAACAACCCAAAAUUAGUGGGGUGAAAUCAAUAAAUCACCAUGGUCGAAUCCUUUUUCAUUCAGAUGUUCAAGCCUUUCAUGAUUUCAUCGAAAAUUUUCUAGUAUUUAAUCUUAUCCAAUUUAUUUUUCUCACGCAACGGUUCUUUUAAAGAUCUGUUUGCCACAUAAUAAAACUAUAUGUUAGAAUCACAAAUCAACUUAUUGACACAACAAUUAAUUUUAUUUAUACCUGUCACAAAGUUCCUGUUGAAUGUAAAAAUGGGGAACAUUAAGGUGUUUAAGUGAAGAACUUCCUCGAGAAAUUCCAAAAUUAGGUGUUUCCACUACAUAUGUCUAUCAAAUUAUUUUUUCUUCUGAAUUUUAGACAUGGGUGGAGCCACCUCAUUUUGGGAUUUUUGUGGGAGUUUACUUAAACAUUUUGAUGUUACUCAUCUUUACAUUCAGCAUGAACUUUGUAAGAGGUAUAAAGAAAAUUAAUUGUGUCAAUAAGUUAACUGUGAUUAACAUAUAGUUUUAUUAUGUGACAAACAAAUCUUUACAAGAACCGGGGUGUGAGAAAGAUAAAUAUGAUAGAGUUACAUACUGGAAAUUUUUUGAUCAAAUCAUGAAGGGCUUUUAAUAUCUCAAAAUGGGUCAUAAUUUACUUUUCUUUCUUUAUUUAUUUUUUCCUUAUAAAUAGCAACACUCUUCACUGCUUUUAUUUUUAUAUAGUGAUGGUCGAUAUGGGAAGCGGCUAGAUACAUAUAUUCCCCAACAUUCGAUUAAACAUAAUCAUUUGUCUUUCUUACCAAAGAAAAAAAAAACAAAAGAGAAUCAUUUCUAAAAGAAAAUAAUCAGAUCUACCUUAGUCAUUUGUGUCUUUCUUCACGUUCUUCUAUUCCUUAUUCAUCCUGCAAUGUGGUUUGAUUAUUGAGAGUUGAGACCGUAUAUUUUAUAGGCAAUUUUAUAAAGGUCAUUUUAAUUGUGCAUGAAUCAUUUUUUAAGAACGUCCUCCAUUAUCGUAGAACAUCCAUAAAAAUAAAAAGAAUGAAAAAAAGUCGGAAAGGAAGGUACACAAGGGAAAUAGCUUAUUUUUCCAUAAUUAAUUUAAAAUUAUAAAGUUUAUUUUCUGAUUAGGUAGACACUUUCCAUCUCAGCAUUGCAUAGAGGACAAUUUUCUUUAUUUGUUAGUAUGGGGGCCGAAGCCAAAAAAGGGCAUACAAUACAAUUUGCAUUGUGUGCAGCGCAAAUGGACAUGUGAUGUGGAUGUGGUUACAACUUACAAAUCAUAGUUUCAUAGUUUCAAUGUUACAAAGCCCCACAAAUGAAAAUUCGGUGAUCACAACAAUGAAAUGGAAUGCUUGCCUUGAAGAAUGACAUAUUUUAUUUGUUUACUUAUUAGGUUACCAUUGAAAGAGCAUUUUUGCUCAAAUUGAAGAACGUUUAGUUAUUUAUGCAUGACUUAAUAAAUAGACGAAUAUCUCGUUUUUAGUAAAUAAGAAAAGAUUCAUGAAAAAUAAUUAAGUGGUUAAAUGAUUUUUUAUUAUAAUGAUAUUUUUUUAGAGAUGAUCUUUGAAUGAAG